RNAcentral lists this transfer RNA (51 nucleotides) under Carica papaya (papaya). RNAcentral describes it as "partial tRNA-Leu". Lineage: Eukaryota; Viridiplantae; Streptophyta; Magnoliopsida; Brassicales; Caricaceae. RNAcentral also lists the same sequence under 6 other names. The record is from RNAcentral.
AAAAUCCGUCGACUUAAAAAAGUCGUGAGGGUUCAAGUCCCUCUAUCCCCA